CCUAGAAGCUUUUAGAUGUGCAUUUUGAAUACCAUAUUCUCUUCAGUUCACCAGAGUUUUUGAAGAAAAAAAAAAAAAGAGCACUGGAUCAUCGCCUGCUUCUUCUUUUGUUCACCUAACUAUGAUAUCCAUCUGAAAAGAUCUUGGAAAAUUCUAAUUUAAGUACUGACAUUUAUAAGUAUUUACUGAGCUCAUCAUGGGCAGGUACAAGGAAGCCUCGUCAUCCUGCUCAAAGCCAGAUAUUCCCAGCUAUCGCACUCCAGUGAGGCUCCCAUGGCAGGAUGAAGCUGAUUCAGAUAAUGGGAAGAUGAAGAUAAAGAAAGGAUGACUGAAAGGGAACCCUGGGACAGGAAGUCAGGAAGAUGGACCUGAAUUAUGUAAAGAUGAGAGGUUUCUUCAGAGUGAUGGAGUUUGGACGGUACUACCCCCCAAAUAUAGCACCUUGUCAUUGAGAAAACAGCAGAAGCCAUUCUCAUAACCCCCUCUUUCCUGAAGCAGGUCAUAAAACCUAGGAAGGUUGCUUCUCCUGCUCCUUUCCCUAACGCAGGAGGUAAGACCCUCAUUCAAGAGGUACCCACCCUACACCUGCAGGAAAGGAACAUCCGUAUUUCUGAAGAUAGGGGGAUACAGAGAAGAAUCAAACAGGCUUUGCUAAGUUUGCCCUAAUUUAUUACCACUUCUCUAUCGUACCCACUCUGUCCAAUCAUGCCUUUGCAUGACUAAUUACUUCUUCACCAAACUUAAGGAUAAAAAUACAUAGUUUUCUCUGUUUCUUUGUAUCCUCACUUCUGAAGGCUCCUGUCUUAUGUAAAGCUUAUUAAAUAAAGUCUGCACUUUUCUCUUGUUAA
Non-coding RNA from Macaca mulatta (Rhesus monkey), 848 nucleotides. The record is from RefSeq and is a predicted model, not a curated record. NCBI's taxonomy places the organism in Eukaryota, Metazoa, Chordata, Mammalia, Primates, Cercopithecidae.